RNAcentral lists this ribosomal RNA (253 nucleotides) under uncultured bacterium. RNAcentral's name for it is "partial 16S ribosomal RNA". It matches the Rfam family "Bacterial small subunit ribosomal RNA", at positions 524 to 776 of the family's 1533-position model. The record is from RNAcentral.
UACGAGUGCCCCGAGCGUUAUCCGGAAUCAUUGGGCGUAAAGGGUGUGUAGGUGGUCAGAUUAGUCUUGUGUUAAAUUCUUCGGCUUAACCGGGGGCAUGCAUAGGAAACGGUCUGACUUGAGGAUGCGAGAGGUGUGUGGAACUCAUGGUGUAGUGGUGAAAUGCGUAGAGAUCGGGAGGAACACCCGUGGCGAAGGCGGCUCACUGGGCUGACCUUGACGCUGAGGCGCGAAGGCGUGGGGAGCGAACGGG